This 496-nucleotide ribosomal RNA is filed under the name uncultured bacterium. RNAcentral describes it as "partial 16S ribosomal RNA". It matches the Rfam family "Bacterial small subunit ribosomal RNA", at positions 28 to 507 of the family's 1533-position model. The record is from RNAcentral.
GAUGAACGCUGGCGGCGUGCCUAAUACAUGCAGGUCGAGCGAACAGACGAGGAGCUUGCUCCUCUGACGUUAGCGGCGGACGGGUGAGUAACACGUGGAUAACCUACCUAUAAGACUGGGAUAACUUCGGGAAACCGGAGCUAAUACCGGAUAAUAUAUUGAACCGCAUGGUUCAAUAGUGAAAGACGGUUUUGCUGUCACUUAUAGAUGGAUCCGCGCCGCAUUAGCUAGUUGGUAAGGUAACGGCUUACCAAGGCAACGAUGCGUAGCCGACCUGAGAGGGUGAUCGGCCACACUGGAACUGAGACACGGUCCAGACUCCUACGGGAGGCAGCAGUAGGGAAUCUUCCGCAAUGGGCGAAAGCCUGACGGAGCAACGCCGCGUGAGUGAUGAAGGUCUUCGGAUCGUAAAACUCUGUUAUUGGGAAGAACAAAUGUGUAAGUAACUAUGCACGUCUUGACGGUACCUAAUCAGAAAGUCACGGCUAACUACGUG